RNAcentral lists this ribosomal RNA (276 nucleotides) under Triticum aestivum (bread wheat). RNAcentral's name for it is "partial small subunit ribosomal RNA". Lineage: Eukaryota; Viridiplantae; Streptophyta; Magnoliopsida; Poales; Poaceae. The record is from RNAcentral.
AUUGUAGUGUGCCUUCCAGAUAAUCGUCAUACCAGAGGGACAUUGCAACAUUACAGUCUACAUUAUAACAUUGCCGUAGUCUACAUCAAGAAUUUCUGCUGUACUCAGACAGCACAAAUCGAUAACCAGAUGCUAAUUAAACCUCAAAAGGAGGUAGUAGCUAUAGGGCGCGUCUACCAAUCAGGCAAAUUAAUGGCCACAAGUGGGAUCGUGAUUGACAAACCAAGUAAGCUUGGCUGCAAAGAGCUUAAGAUUUCCACCUGUAAAAUCACCAAG